CCCAAGAGUCCAUAUCGACGGCAUGGUUUGGCACCUCGAUGUCGGCUCGUCGCAUCCUGGGGCUGGAGUUGGUCCCAAGGGUUGGGCUGUUCGCCCAUUAAAGCGGUACGCGAGCUGGGUUCAGAACGUCGUGAGACAGUUCGGUCCCUAUCCGCUGCGUGCGUUGGAGUUUUGAGGAGGCCUGUCCCUAGUACGAGAGGACCGGGACGGACGAACCUCUGGUGUGCCAGUUGUUCUGCCAAGAGCAUGGCUGGUUUGCUACGUUCGGGAGGGAUAACCGCUGAAAGCAUCUAAGCGGGAAGCCUGCUCCAAGAUGAUAACUCCCUCAUCCUUGUGGUGGUGAGGCCCCCUGUAGAUGACGGGGUAGAUAGGCCGGACGUGGAAGCAUGGUGACAUGUGGAGCCUACCGGUACUAAUCGGCCGAUAACAACAACAA
Molecule: ribosomal RNA, 436 nt
Filed under: Mobiluncus mulieris
Lineage: Bacteria; Bacillati; Actinomycetota; Actinomycetes; Actinomycetales; Actinomycetaceae
Description: bacterial LSU rRNA
Rfam family: Bacterial large subunit ribosomal RNA
Source: RNAcentral